This 325-nucleotide unclassified non-coding RNA is filed under the name rhizosphere metagenome. Its description in RNAcentral is "partial ribosomal RNA internal transcribed spacer region". The record is from RNAcentral.
GUAGGUCAACCUGCGGAAGGAUCGUUACCGAGGUUUUUCUUCCUGGCGCAAGCUGGGAGAUACCCGACCUAUUGUCAUUUGCACGUCGAGGAGGAACGGUGGUGGGUGGCGUGUGUGGCUUGGGAUGGAUCGACCCGAGAGGGAGGAUCCGGAACGGCCCGCGCUGCCGCUGGCGCCUGGACGAACCUUAACUUCGGCGGAAGAGGUAGACUGGAUCUGCCCGCCGCCGGCCGUAACCUAUUUAACUCUGCAACGAGAAUCUGAAGCCUGAUAACACAAAACAAAAUGAAAAGCAAAACUUUCAACAACGGAUCUCUUGGCUCUG